AUUGAACGCUGGCGGCAUGCCUUACACAUGCAAGUCGAACGGUAACAGGUCUUCGAAUGCUGACGAGUGGCGAACGGGUGAGUAAUACAUCGGAACGUGCCUAGUAGUGGGGGAUAACUACUCGAAAGAGUGGCUAAUACCGCAUGAGAUCUACGGAUGACAGCAGGGGAUCGCAAGACCUUGUGCUACUAGAGCGGCCGAUGGCAGAUUAGGUAGUUGGUGGGAUAAAAGCUUACCAAGCCGACGAUCUGUAGCUGGUCUGAGAGGACGAUCAGCCACACUGGGACUGAGACACGGCCCAGACUCCUACGGGAGGCAGCAGUGGGGAAUUUUGGACAAUGGGCGAAAGCCUGAUCCAGCAAUGCCGCGUGCAGGAUGAAGGCCUUCGGGUUGUAAACUGCUUUUGUACGGAACGAAAAGCCCCGGGUUAAUACCCUGGGGUCAUGACGGUACCGUAAGAAUAAGCACCGGCUAACUACGUGCCAGCCGCCGCCGUUA
RNAcentral lists this ribosomal RNA (498 nucleotides) under uncultured bacterium. RNAcentral's name for it is "partial 16S ribosomal RNA". It matches the Rfam family "Bacterial small subunit ribosomal RNA", at positions 30 to 523 of the family's 1533-position model. The record is from RNAcentral.